RNAcentral lists this ribosomal RNA (369 nucleotides) under Pseudophilautus papillosus. RNAcentral's name for it is "partial 12S ribosomal RNA". It matches the Rfam family "Bacterial small subunit ribosomal RNA", at positions 875 to 1381 of the family's 1533-position model. The record is from RNAcentral. Lineage: Eukaryota; Metazoa; Chordata; Amphibia; Anura; Rhacophoridae.
GCCAAGACGUAAAAUAACUCACACCCCAAACGCCCGGGUAUUACGAGCUCUAGCUUAAAACCCAAAGGACUUGACGGUGCCCCACCCAACUAGAGGAGCCUGUUCUAUAAUCGAUGAUCCACGAUAUACCCAACCAUUUUUUGCCUUCAGCCUGUAUACCUCCGUCGCAAGCUUACCAUGUGAACGCACAACAGUAAGCACAAGGGCUACAACACAUAACGUCAGGUCAAGGUGCAGCUUAUAAAAUGGAAGCAAUGGGCUACAAUUUCUAAUAUAGAACAAACAAAGUACUACAUGAAACACAGCUACAAAGAAGGAUUUAGCAGUAAAUAAGGAAUAGAGAGCCUUAUUAAACCUAGCCCUGGGGUG